RNAcentral lists this ribosomal RNA (489 nucleotides) under uncultured bacterium. RNAcentral describes it as "partial 16S ribosomal RNA". It matches the Rfam family "Bacterial small subunit ribosomal RNA", at positions 28 to 523 of the family's 1533-position model. The record is from RNAcentral.
GACGAACGCUGGCGGCGUGCUUAACACAUGCAAGUCGAACGGGAUCCAUCCCAGCUUGCUGGGAGAAGAUCUAGUGGCGAACGGGUGCGUAACACGUGGGCAACCUACCUCGGAGAUCGGGAUAACAGCUGGAAACGGCUGCUAAUACCGGAUAACCCUCUCGGAUCGCAUGGUCCGAGAGGCAAAUGGUCCGCCGCUCCGGGAUGGGCCCCCGGCCUAUCAGCUUGUUGGUGAGGUAACAGCUCACCAAGGCGACGACGGGUAGCCGACCUGAGAGGGUGAUCGGCCACACUGGGACUGAGACACGGCCCAGACUCCUACGGGAGGCAGCAGUGGGGAAUUUUGGGCAAUGGGCGAAAGCCUGACGCAGCAACGCCGCGUGGAGGAUGAAGGUCUUCGGAUUGUAAACUCCUGUCGGGAGGGACGAAGCGAAAGUGACGGUACCUCCAAAGGAAGCCCCGGCUAACUACGUGCCAGCAGCCGCAGUAA